This 433-nucleotide ribosomal RNA is filed under the name uncultured bacterium. RNAcentral's name for it is "partial 16S ribosomal RNA". It matches the Rfam family "Bacterial small subunit ribosomal RNA", at positions 29 to 507 of the family's 1533-position model. The record is from RNAcentral.
AACGAACGCUGGCGGCAUGCCUAACACAUGCAAGUCGAACGAGACCUGCGGGCAUAGUGGCGCACGGCUGCGUAACGCGUGGGAACUUGCCCUUAGGUUCGGAAUAACUUCCCGAAAGGGGUGCUAAUACCGGAUAAUGUCUUCGGACCAAAGAUUUGCGGCCUUUGGAGGGGCCCGCAUUGGGUUAGCUGGUUGGUAGGGUAAACGCGUACCAAGGCGACGCUACAUAGCUGGUCAGAGAGGAUGAUCAGCCACACUGGGACUGAGACACGGCCCAGACUACUGCGGGAGGGAGCAGAGGGGGAUAUAGGAAAGUGGGGGAUAUCAUGAUGCAGCAAUGCCUGGUAAGUGAUUAAGGCGUUAGGGAUGUAAAGCUCUUUUACACGGGAUGUUAAUGACGUUACCGGGAGAAUAAGCUCCGGCUAACUCCGUG